Triticum dicoccoides is the source of this 2231-nucleotide long non-coding RNA. RefSeq lists it as uncharacterized. The transcript is spliced from 2 exons. The record is from RefSeq and is a predicted model, not a curated record. Lineage: Eukaryota; Viridiplantae; Streptophyta; Magnoliopsida; Poales; Poaceae.
GACUGCAGCCUCGCGCCGCCGGAGCCACGGGAGCCGCCGCGGGUCGCCGCCUCCCCAGCCGCGGGUCGCCGCCUCCGGAGCCGCAGCUUGGCCUCCGCCGCGGCGCCACUCCGCCUCCGUGGCAAGUAAGUUUCUAUUGCUGAACUCAUCUGUACUCAGAGACCAAGCAAUUAGCCGUCGUUAGUCGCCGGAGCCGCCCGCCGCGUCCUUCGCCGCAGGAGCCUCCGCCGGAGCCGCCCGCCGCACCCUUCGCCGCCGGAGCCGCCCGACGGGACCGGUCACCUCCUUCGCUGCCGCCAGGAAUCCCAUCACCGGCAAGGUAACUACACCCGUUCCUCCCGUCUUGCUUGCUGCGAAUGUGUGCUGUGUUGGUGGUUGAUGCUGCGUGCUUGCCAGCUUGUCACUGUGUGCUUGUCGCUGAUGGUCUGUUGUUGCUGCUGCUUUCAUGUAUAUGAUUUUUUUAGUCUGACUGUUAGACUAUGAUCCAUGCUCUUAAGGGAAGGGAUUAUUAUGUUGCUGAACUGGGAGUCCUCUGCCGCCAAGAAGGUUUGUGUUGGGGCUGAUGUUCCCCUUAGUGUCCGGGCAUUUCAAGCCCCUUACAUUGUUUCAAUUUUGGUGAGAAGCGAUUUACCUGUGCACGAGUUUCAGUGAAAUAUUUUUUUCCGUUCAAAAAAAAAACUUGCUGCAUUAAUUUGUUUUAUCUGCCGAGCAGGUGAUGGCGCACGGGGACGAGCUUCCUGGACAAGAAGAUCUAUGUAUUCUUCUCGAUGGUGCAAAGUUGAGGUGUUCUCAAAUCUCAGUGACCUAUUUUAUUUUACUAUUGACACUUGAAUGCUCUGUUCUUUCUGAUUAGUUUUUUUUCUUUAUUCUUAUGUUCUUUACUUCCGAUUUCAACUUUCCAAGGAUUUAUUAGUUAAUAAAAGUUCAAGGAUUGUUGGAGAACAUGGAGCCUUGGGUAGCUGAAGUAGAUCCUUCCUUAAGCGCCAAAUCCCUUCUAGUUCAUACGAAAAUCAUGAAGCAAAACAGUAGAAGAAUAUAAAAUAGGGAUGUCUAAAAAAAUGGUAGUCAAAUGUUUAAGGCAUGAAGACUGCAGCAAUGCGAUGGCUAUGCUGAUUAAGUCUAAUUAGUGGACUGGCCAUCACGAAGUCAUGUUUAACUAUCAAUAUGUGAACACAACAUGUGAUUAUGUGGAGUUUGUGAGGAAAAAUGAUAAGUUAAGAAGCUAGUUGGGUGAUUGUCCACUGGCGUUUUUCGGAUAAGAAUUGUCCACUGACGUUGGCCUGGUAUGUAAACUGUCUGCAUCUUUUACUGAGAGAUCACUAAUGUAUACAUUUUAUGCAUUGAAUAUCACUGGGCAUCAUCUUCUGACUGAUAUGGACAAUCUCUUGCAUUAUCUUGAGGUGGCUGGCCAUAUAUGGACUUAGCCUAGAAGCUGGACCUAGAGGCUUCCAUAAUCCCAGAGAGGUAAUUACCCCCGUCUCAACUAUAUUUGUUUUAGUUGGGAGUUGUGUGCUUGCAUCUCCCCCGGAAAAUCGCCGCCGCCAGCCCACAGCUCUCCACUCCUCAACUACUGACCCAUGGGCGCUAUCGAAGGGGAGCCAAACAUUGCCCUGGAUUUUCUUUUUAAUUAUACCAUAUUGUUUAAAUUUUGUAGUUGUCAUUUGUGCAUGAAUUGGUUACAUGUAUGCAAAGCUAACAAAAUAAGAAUAAGAUGAAUUACAUGUCUGCAAAACUAACCAAAUAUGAAUGAGAUGAAUUUCCUCUUUGCAGAAUCCACAUAGUACAUAUUAUAUGCAAAAGUAAUAUGUUUAUAGAGGACAUUUUUUCUCUCUCAGGGUUAUACGUGCGUUGCACGUCCACACCCACAUCUCGACGGGUAGAAAAUUAGCGCAAGGAUCAAAUCCCCCGACCUGUUUUUCUUUCUUUCGGUCUUUGUCCUGAACUGAAUCCUAUCUUGUUCGCUGCAACAACAAGAUCUAGCUACCGGUGGGGAUAUAGAGGACACCAGGAUGGACAACACGUUGCCAUCGAGUUUGCCGAGCUCGCCAGGACAGACCAUGACUUGGUGACCUCCGCCGACGAGGUUACCGUCUAUCUCCAGAGCCCCAUUGAUGUCAUGACCCUUGCCACCUCCACCGCCACCACCAUAGGAGCGGUGUCACCCUUCGAGCAGAGCUAAAAAGAGUGAUGCUAUUCCUUGGUCAGGUUAUGUUGCAGAUUAUUAUUUUGAG